GAUGAACGCUGGCGGCGUGCCUAAUACAUGCAAGUCGAGCGAACGGACGAGAAGCUUGCUUCUCUGAUGUUAGCGGCGGGCGGGUGAGUAACACGUGGAUAACCUACCUAUAAGACUGGGAUAACUUCGGGAAACCGGAGCUAAUACCGGAUAAUAUUUUGAACCGCAUGGUUCAAAAGUGAAAGACGGUCUUGCUGUCACUUAUAGAUGGAUCCGCGCUGCAUUAGCUAGUUGGUAAGGUAGCGGCUUACCAAGGCAACGAUGCAUAGCCGACCUGAGAGGGUGAUCGGCCACACUGGAACUGAGACACGGUCCAGACUCCUACGGGAGGCAGCAGUAGGGAAUCUUCCGCAAUGGGCGAAAGCCUGACGGAGCAACGCCGCGUGAGUGAUGAAGGUCUUCGGAUCGUAAAACUCUGUUAUUAGGGAAGAACAUAUGUGUAAGUAACUGUGCACAUCUUGACGGUACCUAAUCAGAAAGCCACGGCUAACUACGUG
This 497-nucleotide ribosomal RNA is filed under the name uncultured bacterium. RNAcentral describes it as "partial 16S ribosomal RNA". It matches the Rfam family "Bacterial small subunit ribosomal RNA", at positions 28 to 507 of the family's 1533-position model. The record is from RNAcentral.